GACUUCUACGAGAGCCAAACGCGAUGCACCCGGCAUACUAGCUGGCGUGCUCCCGGUUCGAGUCCCGGCUGGUCCACUUCCGAUCCAGCCUCUGCUGUGGCCUGGGAAAGCAGUGGAGGAUGGCCCGUGUGCCUGGGCCGCUGCACCCGCGGGAGACCCGGAAGAGGCUCCUGGCUCCUGGCUUUGGACCUGGGCCAGCUCCGGCUGUCCUGGCCAUUUGGGAAGUGAACCAACGGAUGAAAGAUCUAACUCUGCCUCUCAAAUAAAUAUUUAUAUAUAUAUAAAUAUAUAUAUAUAUUUAUAUAUAUUUAUAUAUAUAUAUUUAUAUAUAUAUAAAUAUAUAUAAAUAUAUAUAAAUAUAUAUUUAUACACACACACACAAACACACACCCCUUUAGAUCUGUGCUAACACACACCGCUUGGGUUUCCUGUCGUUAUUCCUGAAUAAUGCAGUAUUACCCUGUGUGUUCCAUUUGCAAGGUGUCAGGUGUUAGAAGCCCACGGGCCUCCUGCGGGUGCGCGGGACGGCUGUGCUGCAGCCUGCACCUGCCAGAGCUCACCGCAGCUGGGGAGAGCUCCCGGCGAUGGGCGUGGAGGGUGGGAGCGGCCUCGCCGCCAGAGGCGCGCAGAGCGGUGGGGCCGGGCGCGCAGGUGUGGGUGGGAGGAAGCGCAGAGCCGAGGCGGAGGGGUAGGGCGCGCAGGUGUGGGUGGGAGGAAGUCGCCAGGUGCGCGCAGAGGCGGAGGGGCCGGGGGCGCAGGUGUGGGUGGGAGGAAGCCGCCAGGUGCGCGCAGAGGCGGUGGGGUCGGGCGCGCAGGUGUGGGUGGGAGGAAGCCGCCUGGUGCGCGCAGAGGCGGAGGGGCCGGGCGCGCAGGUGUGGGUGGGAGGAAGCGCAGAGCCGAGGGCGGAGGGGCCGGGCGCGCAGGUGUGGGUGGGAGGAAGCCGCCAGGUGCGCGCAGAGGCGGUGGGGCCGGGCGCGCAGGUGUGGGUGGGAGGAAGCCGCCAGGUGCGCGCAGAGGCGGAGGGGCCGGGCGCGCAGGUGUGGGUGGGAGGAAGCCGCCAGGUGCGCGCAGAGGCGGUGGGGCCGGGCGCGCAGGUGCGGGUGGGAGGAAGCGCAGAGCCGGGGCUCAGCCAGGUGAGUGCGGAGGCUCGGGUGUGAACCCGGCGACGAGGGAGAAUUCGGCCGAGGAAGGAGCUGGCGGCUGUGGCCUGCUUAAUUGCAGAAAAUGAGGAGAGGAGCAGGCGGCUGAGCGCUCAGACUGCGGUUUCACGGACGCCAGUGUGGGUCCCCGUGUCUUCUCCCUCCCCCUCUUCUGGGAAAGUCUGGGUGGGGGACUUUUGGAUGUGGAAGUCCCCCAAACAACCCCUCCGGGCGACACUGGCUGUCAGGGGAAGCUUCGCCGGGGACCAGGGCUGGGGGGCCGCUGUGUCGCUCCCUCCGCACGGAGUUCCUCUCCUGAGCGCCCGGCAAGGACGCCGUGGGCUCGGGGAGUCCGACCGAGGCCGGCGCCUGCCUCGUUCGGGCCAUUGCACAUGCAUCUCUUUUCUUUGAAACCCCCAUUUUCUUUGGCCCCUCUUAUGUGCGUAGCUAACACCCACCUGGCUGUCUUCACCCGGGGGCAGCAAUACCAGUGGGUCAGCAGUGGGGGGGCGUGGUCACACAGCCGGUGCAGAGGGGGGACACGUGACCUCUGCAUUUUUUUAAAAUUGAGAUAUAUAUCAUACAAUUCACCUUUUUUUUUUUUUAAUAUUUAUUUGAAAGGCAGCAUUACAGAGAGGGAGAGAGAGUCAGAAAGAUCUUCCAACUGCUUGUUCACUCCUCAAAUGGCCACAAUGGCUGGGGCUGGCCCUUGCUGGAGCCAGGAGCCAGGAGCUUCUUCCGGGUCUCCCAUGCGGGUGCAGGGGCCCAAGGACCUGGGCCAUCUUCUACUGCCUUCCCAGGUGCACUAGCAGGGAUUUUUUUUUUUUAAGAUUUAUUUAUUUAUUUGAAAGUUGUCGCUCCCCCUCUUCGUGGGGGAACGACACAGGACCCUGCGCUGUUCUGCUCGGCCCUCCCCGGGUUUGCUGCUGGUUCUUCCCGGGUUGGCUACUAUCCCUUCCACCUCCGUGGAAGGGCAGUUCCCCCUGGCCACAUUCCCC
RNAcentral lists this long non-coding RNA (2137 nucleotides) under Oryctolagus cuniculus (rabbit). RNAcentral's name for it is "lncRNA (ENSOCUG00000033806.1)". The record is from RNAcentral. Lineage: Eukaryota; Metazoa; Chordata; Mammalia; Lagomorpha; Leporidae.